UUGUUCGGACUUACUGGGCGUAAAGCUCGCGUCGGCGGCUUUGUAAGUUAGCGUUGAAAGCCCGGAGCUCAACUCCGGAAGUGCCUUUAAGACUGCAUCGCUAGAAUCAUGGAGAGGUGAGUGGAAUUCCGAGUGUAGAGGUGAAAUUCGUAGAUAUUCGGAAGAACACCAGUGGCGAAGGCGACUCACUGGACAUGUAUUGACGCUGAGGUGCGAAAGCGUGGGGAGCAAACAGG
RNAcentral lists this ribosomal RNA (236 nucleotides) under uncultured bacterium. RNAcentral's name for it is "partial 16S ribosomal RNA". It matches the Rfam family "Bacterial small subunit ribosomal RNA", at positions 541 to 776 of the family's 1533-position model. The record is from RNAcentral.